This 29-nucleotide small RNA is filed under the name Bombyx mori (domestic silkworm). RNAcentral's name for it is "ovarian small RNA-29689". The record is from RNAcentral. Lineage: Eukaryota; Metazoa; Arthropoda; Insecta; Lepidoptera; Bombycidae.
UCUCCUUCAGGGCACGUUGAUAUGUGCCG